Molecule: ribosomal RNA, 511 nt
Filed under: uncultured bacterium
Lineage: Bacteria
Description: bacterial SSU rRNA
Rfam family: Bacterial small subunit ribosomal RNA
Source: RNAcentral
GAGUUUGAUCGUGGCUCAGAUUGAACGCUGGCGGCAGGCCUAACACAUGCAAGUCGAGCGGUAGAGAGAAGCUUGCUUCUCUUGAGAGCGGCGGACGGGUGAGUAAUGCCUAGGAAUCUGCCUGGUAGUGGGGAUAACGCUCGGAAACGGACGCUAAUACCGCAUACGUCCUACGGGAGGAAGCAGGGGACCUUCGGGCCUUGCGCUAUCAGAUGAGCCUAGGUCGGAUUAGCUAGUUGGUGAGGUAAUGGCUCACCAAGGCGACGAUCCGUAACUGGUCUGAGAGGAUGAUCAGUCACACUGGAACUGAGACACGGUCCAGACUCCUACGGGAGGCAGCAGUGGGGAAUAUUGGACAAUGGGCGAAAGCCUGAUCCAGCCAUGCCGCGUGUGUGAAGAAGGUCUUCGGAUUGUAAAGCACUUUAAGUUGGGAGGAAGGGCAGUAAAUUAAUACUUUGCUGUUUUGACGUUACCGACAGAAUAAGACACCGGCUAACUCUGUGCCAGCACG